AUACGGCAGCGUACACAUGCAGUCGAGCGGUAACAGGUCCAGCUUGCUGGAUGCUGACGAGCGGCGGACGGGUGAGUAACGCAUAGGAAUCUACCCGGUAGUGGGGGAUAACCUGGGGAAACCCAGGCUAAUACCGCAUACGUCCUACGGGAGAAAGGGGGCUUCGGCUCCCGCUAUUGGAUGAGCCUAUGCCGGAUUAGCUGGUUGGUGAGGUAAUGGCUCACCAAGGCGACGAUCCGUAGCUGGUCUGAGAGGAUGAUCAGCCACAUCGGGACUGAGACACGGCCCGAACUCCUACGGGAGGCAGCAGUGGGGAAUAUUGGACAAUGGGGGCAACCCUGAUCCAGCCAUGCCGCGUGUGUGAAGAAGGCCCUCGGGUUGUAAAGCACUUUCAGCGAGGAAGAACGCCUGUCGGUUAAUACCCGGCAGGAAAGACAUCACUCGCAGAAGAAGCACCGGCUAACUCCGUGCCAGCAGCCGCGGUAAUACGGAGGGUGCAAGCGUUAAUCGGAAUUACUGGGCGUAAAGCGCGCGUAGGUGGCUUGAUAAGCCGGUUGUGAAAGCCCCGGGCUCAACCUGGGAACGGCAUCCGGAACUAUG
Molecule: ribosomal RNA, 600 nt
Filed under: Vreelandella subterranea
Lineage: Bacteria; Pseudomonadati; Pseudomonadota; Gammaproteobacteria; Oceanospirillales; Halomonadaceae
Description: bacterial SSU rRNA
Rfam family: Bacterial small subunit ribosomal RNA
Source: RNAcentral